RNAcentral lists this ribosomal RNA (421 nucleotides) under uncultured Alphaproteobacteria bacterium. Its description in RNAcentral is "bacterial SSU rRNA". It matches the Rfam family "Bacterial small subunit ribosomal RNA", at positions 8 to 457 of the family's 1533-position model. Lineage: Bacteria; Pseudomonadati; Pseudomonadota; Alphaproteobacteria. The record is from RNAcentral.
AGAGUUUGAUCCUGGCUCAGAACGAACGCUGGCGGCAUGCCUAACACAUGCAAGUCGAACGAGACCUUCGGGUCCAGUGGCGCACGGGUGCGUAACGCGUGGGAAUCUGCCCUGGGGUACGGAAUAACUCAGAGAAAUUUGAGCUAAUACCGUAUGAUGACGUAAGUCCAAAGAUUUAUCGCCCUGGGAUGAGCCCGCGUAGGAUUAGCUUGUUGGUGAGGUAAAGGCUCACCAAGGCGACGAUCCUUAGCUGGUCUGAGAGGAUGAUCAGCCACACUGGGACUGAGACACGGCCCAGACUCCUACGGGAGGCAGCAGUGGGGAAUAUUGGACAAUGGGCGAAAGCCUGAUCCAGCAAUGCCGCGUGAGUGAUGAAGGCCUUAGGGUUGUAAAGCUCUUUUACCCGGGAAGAUAAUGACUU